This 1474-nucleotide long non-coding RNA is filed under the name Homo sapiens (human). Its description in RNAcentral is "HSALNT0170064". Lineage: Eukaryota; Metazoa; Chordata; Mammalia; Primates; Hominidae. The record is from RNAcentral.
GUCCCGGCUCUUCACUUUGUAGCAUCCAUCCGGAUGGCAGAUUAGAGGCUGGGAUCUGCAGACCUGACAUGUCAGAUGAGAAGGGGCCUUGGAUAACCUGCCAAAACAACAGCACAAAUAAACGCCAGACACCGGGGCUGCUUGAUGUGGAAUUACAAACAUCGCUCCCAUCAUCGAUUCAAAUGCAGCUGAUAUGUAAAGCUCACGUUGUGGCUGCCUUAGAUGAAGGGGGAUCUCGCAGCCCAAGUGCACCCGGCGGGGUGGGGCUGGCGGGAACAAAGUGCCUCCCUGGUACCCCGGCUGCUCAUUUUCCUCGGGCAAGGUGGGAGCCGAGGCUCUGCACGCAGGACGGCGAUAUUUAACAUGCAUUGGUUUUCUUAUAAAAGUUCUCUGAUUGUCUAAUGUGACAGACUCUGGCAUGGGAGACACUGCCACGAAAAUUGCCUCCUGUAGCACCGCUUGAUUUAAGGGAGAGGCAGCGCUUGGGAGAAAAAGAGUCAAAUGCAUGCAGCUGGUGGUGUCUUUCUUUACAUAUUCCCUUUGCGUUCCUGCAGAGCCCCGCGCAGAAGGUGGCAAUUGUGGGAAGAGGGCAAUAUUUACUGGCUGUGUUUCUUUAAGACCCAAAACCACAGUGGUGGUGAUUACAUUUCUGCCUCAUGUUAAUGCAAAUCCCUAUGGUUGAUUGCAAGAUUUAAUUUUUUUUAAAAAAAUUGAUGCAUAAUAGAUGUACAUAGUUUUGGGGUGCAUGUGACAAUUGAAUACAUUCAUAGAAUUUAUAAAGAUAAAAUCAGUGUACUUGGGAUAUCCAUUAACUUCAAUAGUUGUCUUUUCUGUGUGCUAGAACCAUUUGAACUCUUCUCUCGUUAGGAUUCAUUCUGUUUUGUAGGUUACAUAGGGAUUAUCAGAAAAGGCUUUUUAAAAAAUUCUAUCUUAAACUAUAGAAAAGGAAUCUUUUAUGAUUUCUUUUGAAAUUUUUGUACCAAGCUUUGGUUUUUACCACCUCACUCCAGAAUGGCUAAGCUGACAUUUUUUUUUUUUCCCACAAUGUGCAGAUCUGAAAGCUGUAGGGAAAAUAAGUUACAAAGACCUGCCCUUGAGCCAGGACUUUUCUGCGUUCAGGGCGGGUCAUCGGGGCCGUGGGUUGGGCCACACCGCCACAUUGACGGCAGAUGACCCCUCCAUGGCGCUUGCCUGCCCCGGCACCACCACCCACACUGCAUCCUGUUCUGUGCCACCUACAAACCAGAGUCAGAAAGAUCUCUUAGCCGAAGUGGUAUGAGUGAGAUUUAAUGCAAGGAUUAAAUGACCAGUGGUGCUCAGAGAGAUUAUUGACAGCUGGUUUGCCUCACGGGCAGUCCAUUUUGAAAAUAACCUGCACAUUGAAAAUAUGCUGUACAUUAAAAUACACAUUCUCUAUUUUCAGCCCAUGAUGUAAAGUUCAUCCCAAUAACAAAGUACUAAAUGAUUGUGGAUC